This 863-nucleotide ribosomal RNA is filed under the name Curvularia aeria. RNAcentral describes it as "SSU rRNA". It matches the Rfam family "Eukaryotic small subunit ribosomal RNA", at positions 64 to 938 of the family's 1831-position model. Lineage: Eukaryota; Fungi; Ascomycota; Dothideomycetes; Pleosporales; Pleosporaceae. The record is from RNAcentral.
UGUAUAGCAUUAUACCGUGAAACUGCGAAUGGCUCAUUAAAUCAGUUAUCGUUUAUUUGAUAAUACCUUACUACUUGGAUAACCGUGGUAAUUCUAGAGCUAAUACAUGCUGAAAAUCCCGACUUCGGAAGGGAUGUGUUUAUUAGAUAAAAAACCAAUGCCCUUCGGGGCUCUUUGGUGAUUCAUGAUAACUUUACGGAUCGCAUAGCCUUGCGCUGGCGACGGUUCAUUCAAAUUUCUGCCCUAUCAACUUUCGAUGGUAAGGUAUUGGCUUACCAUGGUUUCAACGGGUAACGGGGAAUUAGGGUUCGAUUCCGGAGAGGGAGCCUGAGAAACGGCUACCACAUCCAAGGAAGGCAGCAGGCGCGCAAAUUACCCAAUCCCGACACGGGGAGGUAGUGACAAUAAAUACUGAUACAGGGCUCUUUUGGGUCUUGUAAUUGGAAUGAGUACAAUUUAAACCUCUUAACGAGGAACAAUUGGAGGGCAAGUCUGGUGCCAGCAGCCGCGGUAAUUCCAGCUCCAAUAGCGUAUAUUAAAGUUGUUGCAGUUAAAAAGCUCGUAGUUGAAACUUGGGCCUGGCUGGCGGGUCCGCCUCACCGCGUGCACUCGUCCGGCCGGGCCUUCCUUCUGAAGAACCUCAUGCCCUUCACUGGGCGUGUUGGGGAAUCAGGACUUUUACUUUGAAAAAAUUAGAGUGUUCAAAGCAGGCCUUUGCUCGAAUACGUUAGCAUGGAAUAAUAAAAUAGGGCGUGCGUUUCUAUUUUGUUGGUUUCUAGAGACGCCGCAAUGAUUAACAGGAACAGUCGGGGGCAUCAGUAUUCAGUUGUCAGAGGUGAAAUUCUUGGAUUUACUGAAGACUU